CCUUCUUUACAGAGAACUAAUUUUUUCUUUUUCACCAUAUUCAACAUUCAUUUUCUUAAUUCAAAAAGAAAAUUAACAUACUCUUCCACAUGUGUAUGAUUUAAUGAUGGGAGGAGAUCUACACGAAGAAUGUGGAGAAAGCAGUUAAUAAACUUGUCACAUUUUGAUUAAAUUUAAUUUUUGUAAGUGAGAUAAAAAAGAAAAAAAAAGAAAAAAAAGCAACAAAUGUUGAAAUUGGUCAGCCUUCAAAAUCAUCAAGAAGAAGAGCAACAAAGAAGGAGGACUCAGAAAUUUCAAUAUCUAAAAAAGAAAAAAAAUGGUUAGGUGAUUGUGAUUUAUACACAUGUUUAUUUGCUGAAUACAUUAACAAUGAAAAUUUUUAUAAGCAUUUCAUUGAUAUCGAUGCAAAGUACCAUCGUCAAUGGUAUGCCACAAUCAUAUGACAUUUUAGUAAAACAAAGAACGAUGAUGGCGUGAUCAUUGAGAGUGAAGUAACUGGAACUGUUGCUAGAAAAUUUGGUGGACCUUGCAUAGCAAAAGAACAUGCGCCAGAUAUCAACAAUAAUCCUACACCAAGACCACGAAGAUCUAAUUUGGGAUAGUUAACGGCAGUUUAGACUUUUUAAAAUUACAAAAAAAAUAUUGACUUUUGGAUGAUAUUUUAGUGUUUGAAUACAUUUUUAAGUAUUUGAUGAUAUAUAAUAUCGAUUGUUAUCUUCCGAUCAAA
Molecule: long non-coding RNA, 727 nt
Organism: Solanum lycopersicum (tomato)
Lineage: Eukaryota; Viridiplantae; Streptophyta; Magnoliopsida; Solanales; Solanaceae
Source: RefSeq, a predicted model, not a curated record